Molecule: ribosomal RNA, 494 nt
Filed under: uncultured bacterium
Lineage: Bacteria
Description: partial 16S ribosomal RNA
Rfam family: Bacterial small subunit ribosomal RNA
Source: RNAcentral
GACGAACGCUGGCGGCGCGCUUAACACAUGCAAGUCGAACGGAAAGGCCUGCUUUCCCUUGUGGAUUGCGGGUACUCGAGUGGCGAACGGGUGAGUAACACGUGAGUGAUCUGCCCCCAACUUGGGUAUAAGCCUGGGAAACUGGGUCUAAUUCCCGAUAGGACUGCAGGGUGGUGCCUGUGGUGGAAAACGAUUUUCUAGUGGUUGGGGAUGAGCUCGCGGCCUAUCAGCUUGUUGGUGGGGUAAUGGCCUACCAAGGCGGCGACGGGUAGCCGGCCUGAGAGGGUGGACGGCCACAUUGGGACUGAGAUACGGCCCAGACUCCUACGGGAGGCAGCAGUGGGGAAUAUUGCACAAUGGGCGGAAGCCUGAUGCAGCGACGCCGGGUGGGGGAUGACGGCCUUCGGGUUGUAAACUCCUUUCGACCGCGAGGAAGCCACCUGGUUGGAAGGGUGGUGACGGUAGUGGUAGAAGAAGCACCGGCUAACUACGUG